AAAUUCACUGGUUUUGGCUUAUAUUCGAAGGAUUUGGUUUGGGUUCCGGAAUGGGGAGGUCAAGGAGAUUGUAGGGUGUAAGUUUGGUUGGAUUUGGGAAAAUUUUGGUUUUGAGACAGAUCUUCAAACGAAGAUUCGAACAGGUGUGGUUUGAUUCGAGGGAAACGGGUUGUAUGGUUGGAAAGCGGAGGCUGUGGAGAGCCAAUGGUGUUUUUGGGGUAGGGUUUGGUCACCGGCUCUGCCAUUAUCGAUGAAGGAAUAUCAGGGCAGCGGUCUCUAGGGUUUGAAGAGAG
This 293-nucleotide long non-coding RNA is filed under the name Nicotiana benthamiana. RNAcentral describes it as "long non-coding RNA (NBEN_LNC003812)". Lineage: Eukaryota; Viridiplantae; Streptophyta; Magnoliopsida; Solanales; Solanaceae. The record is from RNAcentral.